AUGCCAGCACGCCUUAGAUCAAUGCUCCACGGUCAAGUGCAGGGGCCACGGGCACUCCUCUGGAGACACUGCGAGAAUGUCAGCCACUGGCAGCGGCCUCUGAGCUGCCUGUGGGCCUCGUGCCGGCGCGCGGCGUGGGGCCGGCAUCUCAGCGGGCGCGGGUGCAGUCCCGCCCCACGCGCGGUCCGAACGCCCGCGAACCCGGUCUCUGGGGCAGGCAGGGGCCGCGGCCGAGAGAAACGUCAGCGGUCUGGCGGGGCCACCUCCUCCCAACCGAGGGAAGCGGGGCCGCGGCAGGAGAGG
This 303-nucleotide long non-coding RNA is filed under the name Papio anubis (olive baboon). Its description in RNAcentral is "lncRNA (ENSPANG00000044162.1)". The record is from RNAcentral. Lineage: Eukaryota; Metazoa; Chordata; Mammalia; Primates; Cercopithecidae.